AGCGAAACGGGAAGAGCCCAAACCAACAAGCUUGCUUGUUGGGGUUGUAGGACACUCUAUACGGAGUUACAAAGGACGACAUUAGACGAAUCAUCUGGAAAGAUGAAUCAAAGAAGGUAAUAAUCCUGUAGUCGAAAAUGUUGUCUCUCUUGAGUGGAUCCUGAGUACGACGGAGCACGUGAAAUUCCGUCGGAAUCUGGGAGGACCAUCUCCUAAGGCUAAAUACUCUCUAGUGACCGAUAGUGAACCAGUACCGUGAGGGAAAGGUGAAAAGCACCCCGGAAGGGGAGUGAAAUAGAACCUGAAACCGUGUGCUUACAAGUAGUCAGAGCCCGUUAAUGGGUGAUGGCGUGCCUUUUGUAGAAUGAACCGGCGAGUUACGAUUUGAUGCAAGGUUAAGCAGUAAAUGUGGAGCCGUAGCGAAAGCGAGUCUGAAUAGGGCGUUUAGUAUUUGGUCGUAGACCCGAAACCAGGUGAUCUACCCUUGGUCAGGUUGAAGUUCAGGUAACACUGAAUGGAGGACCGAACCGACUUACGUUGAAAAGUGAGCGGAUGAACUGAGGGUAGCGGAGAAAUUCCAAUCGAACCUGGAGAUAGCUGGUUCUCUCCGAAAUAGCUUUAGGGCUAGCCUCAAGUGAUGAUUAUUGGAGGUAGAGCACUGUUUGGACGAGGGGCCCCUCUCGGGUUACCGAAUUCAGACAAACUCCGAAUGCCAAUUAAUUUAACUUGGGAGUCAGAACAUGGGUGAUAAGGUCCGUGUUCGAAAGGGAAACAGCCCAGACCACCAGCUAAGGUCCCAAAAUAUAUGUUAAGUGGAAAAGGAUGUGGCGUUGCCCAGACAACUAGGAUGUUGGCUUAGAAGCAGCCAUCAUUUAAAGAGUGCGUAAUAGCUCACUAGUCGAGUGACACUGCGCCGAAAAUGUACCGGGGCUAAACAUAUUACCGAAGCUGUGGAUUGUCCUUUGGACAAUGGUAGGAGAGCGUUCUAAGGGCGUUGAAGCAUGAUCGUAAGGACAUGUGGAGCGCUUAGAAGUGAGAAUGCCGGUGUGAGUAGCGAAAGACGGGUGAGAAUCCCGUCCACCGAUUGACUAAGGUUUCCAGAGGAAGGCUCGUCCGCUCUGGGUUAGUCGGGUCCUAAGCUGAGGCCGACAGGCGUAGGCGAUGGAUAACAGGUUGAUAUUCCUGUACCACCUAUAAUCGUUUUAAUCGAUGGGGGGACGCAGUAGGAUAGGCGAAGCGUGCGAUUGGAUUGCACGUCUAAGCAGUAAGGCUGAGUAUUAGGCAAAUCCGGUACUCGUUAAGGCU
RNAcentral lists this ribosomal RNA (1305 nucleotides) under Staphylococcus aureus. RNAcentral describes it as "partial 23S ribosomal RNA". It matches the Rfam family "Bacterial large subunit ribosomal RNA", at positions 252 to 1557 of the family's 2925-position model. Lineage: Bacteria; Bacillati; Bacillota; Bacilli; Caryophanales; Staphylococcaceae. The record is from RNAcentral.